This 662-nucleotide ribosomal RNA is filed under the name uncultured fungus. RNAcentral's name for it is "eukaryotic LSU rRNA". It matches the Rfam family "Eukaryotic large subunit ribosomal RNA", at positions 40 to 621 of the family's 3401-position model. Lineage: Eukaryota; Fungi. The record is from RNAcentral.
AUAUUAAUAAGCGGAGGAAAAGAAACUAACAAGGAUUCCCCUAGUAACGGCGAGUGAAGCGGGAAGAGCUCAAACUGAAAAUCGGGAUGCUAAGCGGUAUUCCGAGUUGUGGUCUAGAGAUGGCAUGUCAGCUAUGACCCCGGUAUAAAUCUUUUGGAAUAAGGUAUCAUAGAGGGUGAGAAUCCCGUCUUUGACUGGGAGUUCGUAGCGUACGACAUGCUUUCUUAGAGUCGAGUUGUUUGGGAUUGCAACUCUAAAUGGGAGGUAAAUUUCUUCUAAAGCUAAAUAUCAGCGAGAGACCGAUAGCGAACAAGUACCGUGAGGGAAAGAUGAAAAGAACUUUGAAAAGAGAGUUAAAAAGUACUUGAAAUUGUUAAGAGGGAAGCGAUGGCAACCAGUAGUGCUUGGUAGAGUUUUCUAGUUGUGCGGCAGGUCGGGAGUUAGGCAGAGGUUCCGUAUGGUCCUGGUCUGCUCUUUGGCUUGUUGUCGGCUAGCGUAGCUUUAUUGAGCGAGUCAGCAUCAGUUUGACUGCGUGAGAGAAAGUGUAGAGGAAGGUAGGAUCCGGUAGCAAUACCGUAUCUGUUAUAGACUUUACAUGCUAUCAUGUGUUGGACUGAGGUUUUGUAAACACGGCCGCAAGGAUCGCCUCCUAUCUUCUGCGG